RNAcentral lists this ribosomal RNA (2929 nucleotides) under Bacillus amyloliquefaciens. RNAcentral describes it as "23S ribosomal RNA". It matches the Rfam family "Bacterial large subunit ribosomal RNA". The record is from RNAcentral. RNAcentral also lists the same sequence under 1 other name. Lineage: Bacteria; Bacillati; Bacillota; Bacilli; Caryophanales; Bacillaceae.
GGUUAAGUUAGAAAGGGCGCACGGUGGAUGCCUUGGCACUAGGAGCCGAUGAAGGACGGGACGAACACCGAUAUGCUUCGGGGAGCUGUAAGCAAGCUUUGAUCCGGAGAUUUCCGAAUGGGGAAACCCACCACUCGUAAUGGAGUGGUAUCCAUAUCUGAAUACAUAGGAUAUGAGAAGGCAGACCCGGGGAACUGAAACAUCUAAGUACCCGGAGGAAGAGAAAGCAAAUGCGAUUCCCUGAGUAGCGGCGAGCGAAACGGGACCAGCCCAAACCAAGAGGCUUGCCUCUUGGGGUUGUAGGACACUCUGUACGGAGUUACAAAGGAACGAGGUAGAUGAAGAGGUCUGGAAAGGCCCGCCAUAGGAGGUAACAGCCCUGUAGUCAAAACUUCGUUCUCUCCUGAGUGGAUCCUGAGUACGGCGGAACACGUGAAAUUCCGUCGGAAUCCGGGAGGACCAUCUCCCAAGGCUAAAUACUCCCUAGUGACCGAUAGUGAACCAGUACCGUGAGGGAAAGGUGAAAAGCACCCCGGAAGGGGAGUGAAAGAGAUCCUGAAACCGUGUGCCUACAAGUAGUCAGAGCCCGUUAACGGGUGAUGGCGUGCCUUUUGUAGAAUGAACCGGCGAGUUACGAUCCCGUGCAAGGUUAAGCAGAAGAUGCGGAGCCGCAGCGAAAGCGAGUCUGAAUAGGGCGAAUUGAGUACGUGGUCGUAGACCCGAAACCAGGUGAUCUACCCAUGUCCAGGGUGAAGUUCAGGUAACACUGAAUGGAGGCCCGAACCCACGCACGUUGAAAAGUGCGGGGAUGAGGUGUGGGUAGGGGUGAAAUGCCAAUCGAACCUGGAGAUAGCUGGUUCUCUCCGAAAUAGCUUUAGGGCUAGCCUCAAGGUAAGAGUCUCGGAGGUAGAGCACUGAUUGGACUAGGGGCCCCUACCGGGUUACCGAAUUCAGUCAAACUCCGAAUGCCGAUGACUUAUCCUUGGGAGUCAGACUGCGAGUGAUAAGAUCCGUAGUCGAAAGGGAAACAGCCCAGACCGCCAGCUAAGGUCCCAAAGUAUACGUUAAGUGGAAAAGGAUGUGGAGUUGCUUAGACAACCAGGAUGUUGGCUUAGAAGCAGCCACCAUUUAAAGAGUGCGUAAUAGCUCACUGGUCGAGUGACUCUGCGCCGAAAAUGUACCGGGGCUAAACGUAUCACCGAAGCUGCGGACUGUUCUUCGAACAGUGGUAGGAGAGCGUUCUAAGGGCUGUGAAGCAAGACCGGAAGGACUUGUGGAGCGCUUAGAAGUGAGAAUGCCGGUAUGAGUAGCGAAAGAGGGGUGAGAAUCCCCUCCACCGAAUGCCUAAGGUUUCCUGAGGAAGGCUCGUCCGCUCAGGGUUAGUCGGGACCUAAGCCGAGGCCGAAAGGCGUAGGCGAUGGAUAACAGGUUGAUAUUCCUGUACCACCUCCUCACCAUUUGAGCAAUGGGGGGACGCAGGAGGAUAGGGUAAGCGCGGUAUUGGAUAUCCGCGUCCAAGCAGUUAGGCUGGGAAAUAGGCAAAUCCGUUUCCCGUGAAGGCUGAGCUGUGAUGGCGAGCGAAUUAUAGUAGCGAAGUUCCUGAUUCCACACUGCCAAGAAAAGCCUCUAGCGAGGUGAGAGGUGCCCGUACCGCAAACCGACACAGGUAGGCGAGGAGAGAAUCCUAAGGUGAUCGAGAGAACUCUCGUUAAGGAACUCGGCAAAAUGACCCCGUAACUUCGGGAGAAGGGGUGCUCUGUUAGGGUGCAAGCCCGAGAGAGCCGCAGUGAAUAGGCCCAGGCGACUGUUUAGCAAAAACACAGGUCUCUGCGAAGCCGUAAGGCGAAGUAUAGGGGCUGACGCCUGCCCGGUGCUGGAAGGUUAAGAGGAGCGCUUAGCGUAAGCGAAGGUGCGAAUUGAAGCCCCAGUAAACGGCGGCCGUAACUAUAACGGUCCUAAGGUAGCGAAAUUCCUUGUCGGGUAAGUUCCGACCCGCACGAAAGGCGCAACGAUCUGGGCACUGUCUCAACGAGAGACUCGGUGAAAUUAUAGUACCUGUGAAGAUGCAGGUUACCCGCGACAGGACGGAAAGACCCCGUGGAGCUUUACUGCAGCCUGAUAUUGAAUGUUGGUACAGCUUGUACAGGAUAGGUAGGAGCCUUGGAAACCGGAGCGCCAGCUUCGGUGGAGGCAUCGGUGGGAUACUACCCUGGCUGUAUUGACCUUCUAACCCGCCGCCCUUAUCGGGCGGGGAGACAGUGUCAGGUGGGCAGUUUGACUGGGGCGGUCGCCUCCUAAAAGGUAACGGAGGCGCCCAAAGGUUCCCUCAGAAUGGUUGGAAAUCAUUCGCAGAGUGUAAAGGCACAAGGGAGCUUGACUGCGAGACCUACAAGUCGAGCAGGGACGAAAGUCGGGCUUAGUGAUCCGGUGGUUCCGCAUGGAAGGGCCAUCGCUCAACGGAUAAAAGCUACCCCGGGGAUAACAGGCUUAUCUCCCCAAGAGUCCACAUCGACGGGGAGGUUUGGCACCUCGAUGUCGGCUCAUCGCAUCCUGGGGCUGUAGUCGGUCCCAAGGGUUGGGCUGUUCGCCCAUUAAAGCGGUACGCGAGCUGGGUUCAGAACGUCGUGAGACAGUUCGGUCCCUAUCCGUCGCGGGCGCAGGAAAUUUGAGAGGAGCUGUCCUUAGUACGAGAGGACCGGGAUGGACGCACCGCUGGUGUACCAGUUGUUCUGCCAAGGGCAUCGCUGGGUAGCUAUGUGCGGACGGGAUAAGUGCUGAAAGCAUCUAAGCAUGAAGCCCCCCUCAAGAUGAGAUUUCCCAUUCCGCAAGGAAGUAAGAUCCCUGAAAGAUGAUCAGGUUGAUAGGUCUGAGGUGGAAGUGUGGCGACACAUGGAGCUGACAGAUACUAAUCGAUCGAGGACUUAACCAA